GUGAUAUACGAACAGAACAGACGUAUGAAUGAUAUGGUUUUCUCAAACAAAAAAUCAAGUUCGUUCUUGAAAACCUCUUGGUCUUAUCCGGUUGAACUUUUGUGUGUACCCACAAAUAGUUUGAUCUGAAAGUGUAUCACGAUUCCAAGAGGAAUCCAUGUUUAAUUUUGGUGUUCUUCAUCUCUACAAUCACAUCCACGAUUUCGAUCAAUUGCAAGUAACCGGUACGUUCUAUCUAGAAUCCAACAAAGAUCAAACUAUUUUCGUUGGGGAUUGAUUAUUUACUCCAGUUUGUUGUUACUGUGGUCGCUAUGGAAAGAAAUUGGGUCAUUGUUGUGUUUGAAAUUGGUGAUAAUUCGACCAGUUUUGUUCGUAAGUUCGAAUAAGGAAAAGAAACCUUCGCCUGCCUUACUUGGGGUUAACGGUUCUGUUUAAUUUCGAAAUCGUGGGAGUUUGAAUUCACGCAAUGUUCACGGUUUAAUUUGUGAUGGAUUUGCGGUUUGAUUUUAGAGAAGAAAGUGUUCUCGAGAUGGGGAAUUAAAAAGUAGAGUGGAAAAGUCCACAAAUUUAUUUGUGACUUUGAAAAGUGAUUUUAAUCAGAUUCUUAUGACAUUGAAAUCUGAUUUUAAUCAGAUUUGAUUUCCGAAUUAAGUUGUUCAAAAGCCUAUCCACUUUACCACGACCACUUUAUUAUUUAAAUGAAACUUGGGCUGAAAAUGUUUUUCCUGGAAAUUUUAUUUUGACUCAAGAUCAAUACAUGGAAUAUAUUAAGCUGCUUGUUUAUUUUAUUAGAAUUAAAGUGGGCUGAUGGUUGUUGGUAAUUCCUAAGAAAAGUAUUGGAGUAUACUUGAGAUGGGCUAAUAAAUUCCAAUGUGAAUCAUAUUAAUUAAUUAAAUUGAAUUCAUGGAUCGGUUAUAUCUACAAAACUGAAUUCGGGACCAAUUAUCUACCAUAUAACCUUGUGUUAUCUACUAUACGGUUGAUAAGAUCAAAGGAAGGAACACGGUCGGUGUUCGUGUGUGAUCUUGGACAGAGCCACAGAGGAAUGAAACGAUCGGUCAUCUCAUUGGUUUAAUUGGUACGUUUAUACCGGGACAAAUAAGAAAGAAACCUUUGUUUCUUUGGGUUGUUGUCUCUGUGGUACAAGACCAGAAAGAACAAAGCUUUGUUUGGCUUGUGUGAAGAUUCGGACAGAAAAAUAAAAAUUGUUUGAUAGAAAAGGAAGAAACAGUUAGUUGUUUCUUUGGUAAUACUAUGCAUAGACAAGAAGAAAGAAGGAAAAUAAUUCAUUUGGAUGCUACAGCUCGAAUCCAAAAGGAAAGAAUUUGUGAUUCUCAACGUCAUAUCCGGCCAAUUUCCAGAUCUGUAGAAUAAAAACUAUGCCAAAGAAAUCAAGGGAACGCCAUCACAUUUGGAAAAAAAAAGUCCCUCAACUUCCACCUUGAAUCGCUAAAUCUUCCGGACCAAAGUGAAAAUAAAAAAUUCAAGCUCAGAAACCACACAUGAUACUCAAAGAAUAUCUAUAGUAGGUUGGUUUGUUUAAAACUCGUUUGCCCCGAACUAGACUUUUCGGCAGAUCAUUAAAGUCAAAAGGUGGGCUGGCCUUGUGGUGUAGAGAUUGUAAUUGGGUCUGGUCCAUCCGUUUAUCCAACAGCCAACAAAAACAAGCAAUAAAACUUCCAAAGCUCAUCGCUGGCAUUUGUGGUAAUACUUUGAAUUCAUUAAGGGCUUUUUGGGUAUUUCACAUUUUUUUCUUACCACACCGUCCACACGUAUGUUGCUUUCUUUCAUAGCACACCACCACUGAUUUACAUAAGCCCAUGAUCCGUUUGAUUAUUUUUUCUUGUUCUUGUAUAACCUCGUAAUCAGCCCUUAUACGGAUUAAGAUAUAGACAAGUGGGCCUGCUCCAUUUAUACAAUAAUGAUCCAAUAACUCUUGCAAAUUCAUGAUCCUUUUGUUUUCUGUAAUACAAACGUACAUGUAUGAUGAGUUUCACAGUAAUAGCAUAUAAGUUUCAAUU
This 2021-nucleotide long non-coding RNA is filed under the name Helianthus annuus (common sunflower). RNAcentral describes it as "hypothetical non coding rna". Lineage: Eukaryota; Viridiplantae; Streptophyta; Magnoliopsida; Asterales; Asteraceae. The record is from RNAcentral.